CCUACGGGUGGCAGCAGUGGGGAAUAUUGGGCAAUGGGCGCAAGCCUGACCCAGCAAUGCCGCGUGCAGGAAGAAGGCUUUCCGGUUGUAAACUUCUUUGUCUGGGGAAGAGCCGCAGACUGUAUCCUGAACACUAGCUACGGCUAACUACGUGCCAGCAGCCGCGGUCAUACGAAGGUGGCAAGCGUUGUCCGGAUUUACUGGGUGUAAAGGGCGUGUAGCCGGGAAGGCAAGUCCGAGGUGAAAUCUGGAGGCUCAACCUCCAAAUUGCAUUUGAAACUGUUUUUCUUGAGUACGGGGAAGGCAGACGGAAUUCCUUGUGUAGCGGUGAAAUGCGUAGAUAUAAGGAGGAACACCAGUGGCGAAGGCGGUCUGCUGGAGAGGAACUGACGGUGAUGCGCGAAAGCGUGGGGAGCGAACAGGAUUAGAUACCCCGGUAGUC
This 442-nucleotide ribosomal RNA is filed under the name uncultured bacterium. Its description in RNAcentral is "partial 16S ribosomal RNA". It matches the Rfam family "Bacterial small subunit ribosomal RNA", at positions 338 to 795 of the family's 1533-position model. The record is from RNAcentral.